GAGUUUGAUCCUGGCUCAGGAUGAACGCUGGCGGCGUGCUUAACACAUGCAAGUCGAACGGGAAUUACUUUAUUGAAACUUCGGUCGAUAUGAUUUAAUUCUAGUGGCGGACGGGUGAGUAACGCGUGGGUAACCUGCCUUAUACAGGGGGAUAACAGUCAGAAAUGACUGCUAAUACCGCAUAAGCGCACAGAACCGCAUGGUUCCGUGUGAAAAACUCCGGUGGUAUAAGAUGGACCCGCGUUGGAUUAGCUGGUUGGCAGGGCAGCGGCCUACCAAGGCGACGAUCCAUAGCCGGCCUGAGAGGGUGAACGGCCACAUUGGGACUGAGACACGGCCCAGACUCCUACGGGAGGCAGCAGUGGGGAAUAUUGCACAAUGGGGGAAACCCUGAUGCAGCGACGCCGCGUGAAGGAAGAAGUAUCUCGGUAUGUAAACUUCUAUCAGCAGGGAAGAUAAUGACGGUACCUGACUAAGAAGCCCCGGCUAACUACGUGCCAGCCGCCGCGGUAAUUC
RNAcentral lists this ribosomal RNA (516 nucleotides) under uncultured bacterium. RNAcentral describes it as "bacterial SSU rRNA". It matches the Rfam family "Bacterial small subunit ribosomal RNA", at positions 9 to 526 of the family's 1533-position model. The record is from RNAcentral.